CAUAGUUUAAAUCAUCCUUAUCAUAAUCUUGUGACCAAGCUGAGGACGUGCAGUGUAGGCAUGAGCUGCCCAGGGCCAGGACCAGAGUUGUAAGAUAUGGCGUCUUGAUAUUCAAAAAACUGGGGAAUGGAAGAAAGUCAAACUCGCAAUCUCCUGGAAGAUCUUUAGUGUGCCCUGAAGCCUGCCUUCUCCCUCCAGACCCACUGCCUGAGGGAUGGACCCUCACC
Suricata suricatta (meerkat) is the source of this 227-nucleotide long non-coding RNA. RefSeq lists it as uncharacterized. The transcript is spliced from 3 exons. The record is from RefSeq and is a predicted model, not a curated record. Lineage: Eukaryota; Metazoa; Chordata; Mammalia; Carnivora; Herpestidae.